This 418-nucleotide ribosomal RNA is filed under the name Clostridioides difficile. RNAcentral's name for it is "bacterial SSU rRNA". It matches the Rfam family "Bacterial small subunit ribosomal RNA", at positions 167 to 603 of the family's 1533-position model. The record is from RNAcentral. Lineage: Bacteria; Bacillati; Bacillota; Clostridia; Peptostreptococcales; Peptostreptococcaceae.
UACGGGAUAAUAUAUUUGAGAGGCAUCUCUUGAAUAUCAAAGGUGAGCCAGUACAGGAUGGACCCGCGUCUGAUUAGCUAGUUGGUAAGGUAACGGCUUACCAAGGCGACGAUCAGUAGCCGACCUGAGAGGGUGAUCGGCCACAUUGGAACUGAGACACGGUCCAAACUCCUACGGGAGGCAGCAGUGGGGAAUAUUGCACAAUGGGCGAAAGCCUGAUGCAGCAACGCCGCGUGAGUGAUGAAGGCCUUCGGGUCGUAAAACUCUGUCCUCAAGGAAGAUAAUGACGGUACUUGAGGAGGAAGCCCCGGCUAACUACGUGCCAGCAGCCGCGGUAAUACGUAGGGGGCUAGCGUUAUCCGGAUUUACUGGGCGUAAAGGGUGCGUAGGCGGUCUUUCAAGUCAGGAGUGAAAGGCU